RNAcentral lists this ribosomal RNA (562 nucleotides) under uncultured bacterium. RNAcentral describes it as "bacterial SSU rRNA". It matches the Rfam family "Bacterial small subunit ribosomal RNA", at positions 338 to 916 of the family's 1533-position model. The record is from RNAcentral.
CCUACGGGAGGCAGCAGUGGGGAAUCUUGCGCAAUGGGCGAAAGCCUGACGCAGCAACGCCGCGUGCGGGAAGAAGGCUUUCGGGCUGUAAACCGCUUUCAGCAGGAACGAAAAUGACGGUACCUGCAGAAGAAGGAGCGGCCAACUAUGUGCCAGCAGCCGCGGUGAUACAUAGGCUUCAAGCGUUGUCCGGAUUUAUUGGGCGUAAAGAGUUCGUAGGCGGUCGAGUAAGUCGGGUGUGAAAAUUCUGGGCUCAACCCAGAGACGCCACCCGAUACUGCUUAACUUGAGUUCGAUAGGGGAGUGGGGAAUUCCUAGUGUAGCGGUGAAAUGCGCAGAUAUUAGGAGGAACACCGGUGGCGAAGGCGGCACUCUGGAUCGAUACUGACGCUGAGGAACGAAAGCAUGGGUAGCAAACAGGAUUAGAUACCCUGGUAGUCCAUGCCGUAAACGGUGGGCACUAGGUGUGGGAUUCUAUUAACGAAUUCCGCGCCGUCGCUAACGCAUUAAGUGCCCCGCCUGGGGAGUACGGUCGCAAGACAAAACUUAAAGGAAUUGACGG